GCCAAAAAUCUAGCCCAUAAUAUUUUUAUUACACCCCCUAAACCCCACAUCACUAAACAAAACAUUUUAUACUUUUUAGUAAAGGAGAUAGAAAGAUUUUUAGGAGCAAUAUAAAUAGUACCGUAAGGGAAAGAUGAAAUAAAAAUGAAACAAACACUUAAGCACAAAAAAGUAGAGAUUAAACCUCGUACCUUUUGCAUCAUGGUUUAACUAGUCUUUAACAAGCAAAAUGAAUUUAAGUUUGACCUCCCGAAACUAAGCGAGCUACUCAAGGGCAGCUUUAUGAGCCAACCCAUCUCUGUUGCAAAAUAGUGGGAAGACCUUUAAGUAGAGGUGACAGACCAAACGAGCUUAGUGAUAGCUGGUUAUCCAACAAAAGAAUUUUAGUUCACCCUAAAGCCACAAAAAAGUCAUUAAACUAACCUUCAUGCUUUAGAGUUAUUCAAAUAAGGUACAGCCUAUUUGAACUAGGAUACAACCUAAACUACUGGGUAACAAUUUUAUACUACAAAAGUAGGCCUAAAAGCAGCCACCUUUUAAAUAGCGUCAUAGCUUACCUGAUCUUCUUAAACUAAUACCAUAAUAAACUAUUAACCCGUUACCACUACUGGAUUAUUCCAUACAUAUAUAGAAUAAAUUAUGUUAAAACUAGUAACAAGAAGAAAACCCUUCUCUUAAAUGCAAGUGUAAGACAAAAGGAUAAACCACUGUCAAUUAACACCCCUAAACCCUAAUUAGCAACUCUACAAGAAAACCCUAUUUUAAUUAAUGUUAAACUAACACAAGCGCAUUUCAAGAAAGAUUAAAAAAACAAGAAGGAACUCGGCAAACCUUAACCCCGCCUGUUUACCAAAAACAUCGCCUCUUGAAACUAUAUAAGAGGUCCCGCCUGCCCAGUGAACUUAUUCAACGGCCGCGGUAUCCUAACCGUGCGAAGGUAGCGUAAUCACUUGUUCUUUAAAUAAGGACUAGUAUGAAUGGCACCACGAGGGUUACACUGUCUCCUUUUUUAAAUCAGUUAAACUAAUCUUCCCGUGAAGAAGCGAGGAUAAUAUUAUAAGACGAGAAGACCCUAUGGAGCUUUAAACAAACAACACUUGCUGCAAACCCUUUUCUUUAUAAAGUUUAGCACUAUGAUUACAAAGUUUUCGAUUGGGGUGAUCACGGAGCAAAAAACAACCUCCACGUUGAAUAGGGCUUUAUACCCUGAGCAAUAAGCCACAACUUUAUGCACUAAAAAAUUAACAUGCAUUGACCCAUAAUUUUGAUCAACGAACCAAGUUACCCUAGGGAUAACAGCGCAAUCUGCUUCAAGAGCUCCUAUCGACAAGCAGGUUUACGACCUCGAUGUUGGAUCAGGGUAUCCAAGUGGUGCAGCCGCUACUAAUGGUUCGUUUGUUCAACGAUUAAAACCCU
This 1416-nucleotide ribosomal RNA is filed under the name Boana pombali. RNAcentral's name for it is "partial 16S ribosomal RNA". It matches the Rfam family "Bacterial large subunit ribosomal RNA", at positions 127 to 2597 of the family's 2925-position model. Lineage: Eukaryota; Metazoa; Chordata; Amphibia; Anura; Hylidae. The record is from RNAcentral.